This 1873-nucleotide unclassified non-coding RNA is filed under the name Hevea brasiliensis (rubber tree). Lineage: Eukaryota; Viridiplantae; Streptophyta; Magnoliopsida; Malpighiales; Euphorbiaceae. The record is from RNAcentral.
GAAGGACAUCCAAAGGUAAGUUGAUUUUAUUCACAUUGAAGGAAUGUUGUGUUUUUAAUUUUUUGUUUGUUAAUAUUUAAGAGUGUAAAUUGAGUAGGAAUUUGAUUUCCACCAUGUCGAACACUCACAGUAGGCUUGGUUUGAGGGAGGUCUUUGUUUUGUUAGAGAUUGAACUCAGAAAAAAGGAGCUAAACCAAGUAGAUUUUGAUUUCAAUUUGUGAUGAUUUAAUUAUAAUUUAGAUUUGUGCAGUAGUAUUCAAUUUUAGUAGGCAUAAUUAUGGGGUUAUGAUUUAAUAAUAUGCUAUUAUUAUUUCUUGAGGAGCCAUGGAAGUUUGUAUCUCAGGCGUUGGAAUGGUGAUCUGAAUUCACGUUAAUAAAAAUUGUUUAUCUUUCCCCAAGGCUUGUUUCUUAAGUUUUUGUUGGUGAUUAUAUGUGUUUGGGAAUAACUGAUAUGCAAUUAGCUAUUAGGAGUGAUAUAAUAUAAAUAGAUGAGUCUUCUGAUGAGGGACUCUGUAUGCACAUAACAGAGUCAUAUCCUUCAAAGACUCCAAAUGGUAUAAGUAGACGAGUCUUUAGAAGGACAUGAGUAUUCUUAUAAAGAGGUCGUAUAUUCACUAUUGCAUGGUUCGAUGUGUUUUUGGUAAGAAUGUAUAUGCUCCAAAAAGGAGUCAGAUAUUCCUCGAUGGCAUCAACCUAAAACUCAUUCCAUAACACAAACACCUUAGGCACGAUUUCGCUAUUGGCCCUGAAUUAAAGAGGUCGUAUAACGAACCCCAACAGUGAAAAUAGUCGUAUAGCCCACAUGAUAGAAAAUGAUGAUAACCAUUAGUUUAUUCCCUUGGGGAUCAUAUUUGACAAUAUUCAUUUACACUAAGAAGACAAGUCAUAAUGAACACCCCUAAAAUAAAGUACUCGGUGCAACGGGUAAACACAUAAAUGUAGGAACCGAAAUCUUUUAUACAAUUGUCACUUUGUCAAUUGUCCUACAUACUGCUCGAGGAAGCGAGGAUUAGAGGCCUAGCAUUAGCCAGGCAUAGUAUGUGUUAUUAGCCGACUUGUUUGAGUCAGAAUUUCUUCAAUAAGUAGGUCAGCACACCCACUUGCCUCAAACAAACCAGUCGGAUAGUUGGAUGAGCUGCUUACUACACCAGUCCGACUGGUUAUCAUCUGUCACUAUUGGCCCAGACGUGUCAGAGUUAUUAUUAUCCUAAGGAUAACCUGAUUAGACCUUUGACACAGACUUCCGUGAUUAAGAUAGCCCACUUGUAGUAGCUUUACAUGUGUCUAACAAAUAUUGGCUCACCCGUUCUAUAAAUAAGGACCCUCCCUUAUUAGGAACAGCAGAUUUUUCUCUAGCUUGCAGGAUGCCCUUCAUUAGAAUGUCACAAAUACCCUUGCUAUACCUUCUUCCUGAGAAGCAGUUGUAGCAACAUGAUGCAGUAAGGAAGUAGUCGUAUUUAUCCCAAAGAAUGCCCUAGCACGUGCAUUAUCUCAAAACCCUCUCAGCCACAAAUCGCUAUUUCUGAUACCCUCCUAAUCGGCCAUCGCAAAGGCUGGUAGAUUAUGACAAUCAAAACUACACACUUGAGAUAGGCCUUGUGGUGCACUUCUUAAUGCCCUAUUAAUGAGGGAUGUUGAUGUAUUAGCUAGGCUUUAUAUUUCAUAAGAUAGAUAUAUUGGGACAUUUGCUUAGUAUAAAUAAAUAAAUAGGGUGUUUUUUUUUCUUUUUUAUCUAAUUAUUUAUAUAUAUAUAUAUUUUUUAUCUAAAGAUAGCUGUUAUUGUGUGACACACACCAUUUAUCAUUUACAUUGUCCAUGCUGCAUCGAAAAGUAUGCUUUAUCUUAUCUGGCAGGAAGCUAGCUGCCCAUGAAU